RNAcentral lists this long non-coding RNA (552 nucleotides) under Citrus maxima (pomelo). RNAcentral's name for it is "long non-coding RNA (CMAX_LNC000757)". Lineage: Eukaryota; Viridiplantae; Streptophyta; Magnoliopsida; Sapindales; Rutaceae. The record is from RNAcentral.
UGUUGCCGAGAUCAAACACCAUUUCUUUCUCUUUUUUUUUCUUGGUACAGGCAUGAAAAUGCCUAUCGGGACUCUGGUUUUUGUAGUUACUCUAGAAUGUUUAGGUGGCAUCAUGUGAUGUUUUUAUCAUUCAAUCACUAGCAGCCGAUGUCGGGGUUGUCGGGGAUAUCAGUGCUUCAAUUAAUUGGCUUAAGGCAAAUGGUUCCAAGAAGGUUGGCAUGGCUGGAUAUUGCAUGGGAAGUGCUCUCGCUAUUGCAAGUUCUGCCAAAUUUUGCUUCCACCUUUUUUUAACUUUAAAAUUUAUGUGGGCAUUUUAAUUUUUUGACUUGGAGACUCCUUAAUUAAGAAUAAAAUUUUAAUUAGAUGCAUGCCUACGAUAUCUGGAUCCAUAUGAUGUGAGAUGUGUUCUAAGGGAUCAUAUUCGAAGGAAUUAUUUUUUUUCAAUUAACGAAUGAAUGCCAAUGGAAUGAGGUUUACUAAAGAAAUGUGUUUGGUGCCUGAAAACACUUUGAUCUUUGUGAGUAAUUUCCAACACACUGUUGAAUAGUAAAC